CUGGGAAUUUUGCGCAAUGGACGAAAGUCUGACGCAGCAACGCCGCGUGGGCGAGGAAGGCCUUCGGGUUGUAAAGCCCUUUUGGCGGGGAAGAAACAAAUGACGGUACCCGCAGAAGAAGCACCGGCUAACUCCGUGCCAGCAGCCGCGGUAAUACGGAGGGUGCAAGCGUUAUUCGGAAUUACUGGGCGUAAAGGGCGCGUAGGCGGCUUAGUUAGUCUGGUGUGAAAUCCCUCGACUUAAUCGAGGAAGUGCAUUGGAUACUGCUAGGCUUGAGUGCUGGAGGGGAGAACGGAAUUCCAGGUGUAGAGGUGAAAUUCGUAGAUAUCUGGAGGAACAACGGUGGCGAAGGCGGUUCUCUGGACAGUUACUGACGCUGAUGCGCGAAAGUGUGGGGAGC
RNAcentral lists this ribosomal RNA (400 nucleotides) under uncultured bacterium. RNAcentral describes it as "bacterial SSU rRNA". It matches the Rfam family "Bacterial small subunit ribosomal RNA", at positions 355 to 769 of the family's 1533-position model. The record is from RNAcentral.